Paramuricea clavata is the source of this 329-nucleotide non-coding RNA. The record is from the annotation of a GenBank genome assembly. NCBI's taxonomy places the organism in Eukaryota, Metazoa, Cnidaria, Anthozoa, Malacalcyonacea, Plexauridae.
AUGCCAUGGAUACAACUGGAACAGCCCACUGCGAAUUCGGAAAAUCCCUCAGUCAGUUACUGCACCAAUUAACUAUACAAAUGAGGAACUAUCAGCGACAUAUUUGACACGCAAUGUGGAAUGGAAUCCAUUGACAGGAUCAUCAGCAACUGUUUGGUUUCUGAAAAAGGAACAACACCAAAACGACACACACCAACUAUAACAUAAUAUAGCUUGAAAUAUGGUAUUGCAACAUAACGGAAAGAUUUCGAUCUAUAUACUUAUACAAGUUAAAAGUUGCAUGUAGACAAAAUAAGAACUUACUAAAAUAAAUUUUACUUACGUUGGCA